Amphibalanus amphitrite is the source of this 238-nucleotide long non-coding RNA. RefSeq lists it as uncharacterized. The record is from RefSeq and is a predicted model, not a curated record. Lineage: Eukaryota; Metazoa; Arthropoda; Thecostraca; Balanomorpha; Balanidae. The transcript is spliced from 3 exons.
AUCUUGCAUGUUUGUGACGGAAGUGCAGCACGGGACGCGGCGGACGCAGUGAAUUGGAGGCUGGAGCGACUGCUGGACGGUGCCAUGGAGGCCACUUUCUCAGAGAGGCGACACCUCAUCGUCAAGAGGAAAAUCCCGAUGGCCACCAUCCGUCGUCGAUGAAAACAAAGUCUGGAAAGAGCUGAGUCGGAUAAAAAAAUGCCGACUUGCAGGACACCAACGAGUUGGAACUCUCCCG